GCCGAGGUGGUGAAAUUGGUAGACACGCACGCUUGAGGGGCGUGUGGAGCGAUCCGUGCGAGUUCGAGUCUCGCCCUCGGCACCA
This 85-nucleotide transfer RNA is filed under the name Acidobacteriota bacterium. Its description in RNAcentral is "tRNA-Leu". It matches the Rfam family "tRNA". From Rfam's summary of the family: Transfer RNA (tRNA) molecules are approximately 80 nucleotides in length. Lineage: Bacteria; Pseudomonadati; Acidobacteriota. The record is from RNAcentral.